GUCGCCGAUUGCUACUAAGAACCUAACAGAAUUUUUCAAACUAAAUUAGUGUUUUGGAUUUUUUUUUGUUUAGUCUUUCCUAUUUGUGAUUUUGAAUAGACGCCNUGCGAAGGAGAGAAGGUGAAGCUGCUCCCUGGGCUGGGCUUGAAUGCCGGUUUGUUUUUGGCUAGAGAGGACCAAAAGUUAGCGCAGUAAAUGAGUGACCGAAUAGAAUCCUCCUAUGUGUUUAUAUAAGCUAUUAUAACUUCUUUUGAAGUUAAAGUGAGAACUUGGGGA
RNAcentral lists this unclassified non-coding RNA (276 nucleotides) under Hevea brasiliensis (rubber tree). The record is from RNAcentral. Lineage: Eukaryota; Viridiplantae; Streptophyta; Magnoliopsida; Malpighiales; Euphorbiaceae.